CAGUCAUUGGCCGGUCGCAAGCCGCCUCCCAGCCGCCAGGUCCGCUUGCUGGACGCCGGCCAAGGGAGGCGGCGCGCCACGAGGGCUCGGGACUGAGCUGGCGAUGUUGUUUCCACUUUUGCUGCACAGCCGUUGACUUGAGUAGAUUACAGCUCCGGUGGGCAAAGAAGGGACCCUCGCCUAUGUCCGGAACCCAAUGGAAGGUGAUGAGGGAUCCAAAGAUUGAGCUGAAAGAUGGGAAGACUGAGACUCCCCGCCUCUCCAGCUGGAAGGUCUGGGCAGAGACCGAAGUUCCCCUGGAGGCCUCCGGAUCCAGCUAGUCUCCCGGCGCUGAGUUUCGUCUCUACUAAUUUUGACAAGCAUUCGUAUUGCAACUACGACAGCCCUGUUUGUCUUUUAGGGAAAAUAAGAUAAAGAAACUGAGGAAGAGAGCACUAAGUAACUUGAUCAAGGCCACAGCUGUUUUCAGCGGACUUUGUUUGUAUGUGGUGCUGAGGAUCGAACCCGGACUGCACGCAUGCCAGGCGAGUGCGCUACUGCUUGAGCCACAUCCCCAGCCCCAGGGUCCGUCCUAUUACCAGGCAAUUUCCUUUCUCAUUUCUGGUCAUAGGUAAGGACAGAAACACAACCAACAGAUCACAUUUAGUAUCAACUCUGUUUCUGCCACCUCUCUGAAUCUGAAAAUCUAUCAGUUCCGAGUCAGUAAACUCAGAACUGAUAGAUUACCCUCCACACCAAAGGGGACUAACAGUUGUAGCUCUCCAAACUAGAAGCAAAGUAUACCUUUUAAACAUAUGUAGGAGUCUCUAGGGGAUGAUACAGACAGAGGAUGUCUUUAAGUAAUCAAUGUUUAAAGAAAGAGUACUCUUGAAUCAACUUGUCUACCUUUCAAGGGGGCUAAGAAAGUUGGUGUUGGCAGGGGGGAGGUAGAGAGAAAAGUUGGGGCUUUUAAAUUCUAAUCAACCAUUCCAAUUCAUCAUAGGGGGCUGGGGCUCUAGCUCAGUGGCAGAGCGCUUGCCUUGCAUUUGAGAGGUGCUGAGAAUCAAACCCAGCCGGAUUCCAUCCUCAGCACCACAUAAAAAUAAACAAAAUAAAGGCAUGCUGUCCAUCUACAUCUACAAAAAACAAACAAACAAACAAAAAAACUCAUCAUACUGACUCUGAGGGGAAUGUAAGGGAGCUAUGAAAUUCAAAGAGGAGUUAGCAUGGGCAGAACACACAAAAACCUCUUUCCAAAACACAAGUAUUACCUGAGUUAUACUUUGCUUGUUCAAAUUAAUCUUUCUCUUUUCCAAGUUUGAUCCUAGUGACUUCAUAGACAUCAUACUCUUAUGUGUGGGAAAACACUACAGUGAGCAGCUUUCGUGUCAAAUUAGUGUUAAAAAAUCUCAGCAAUUCUAUUUAUUAAAGACACCAAGAUAGAAAAUCAUACAGGAGACAACGCAGAGGAAUAAAAGCUCUUAAGUCCAGUUUUCUGGGUUUGUUUUCCGAUUCUACUUAAUGGCUAUGAAACUUUGAGCAAAUUGCUAAAUAUAUGUGUACAUUUGUUUCCUCAUCUGUAUAAUGGGAUAACAGCUUUAUAAGCAACUACUGCAUAAGGUUGUAAAGAUUAAAUGAGAUAAUAUUUGUAUCAUUAUUAAAUUUCUUUGGAACUCAUUUAAAUAAGUAUUUGAUAUAGACUACAUGCUCAAUAAAUAUUGAGCUACUAAUCAGUAUCAAUAAGACAUGAAGAAUUUCUUUACAUCUCUGAGCCUUACUUUCCUCCACUAGAAAAAUGAAAGAAAAAAAAUACUAUCCUCAUAGAAUAGGCUAUGGGGAUUAAAUGAAAGAUGUAUUUAGCAUAAAGAUGUAGUAGCUAGUUGUUAUUAAAUAAUGGCCCUGCUUUUUUUGCGUCCAGAAAAGAUUUAAGUUAAUAUAUUAAAGAAUAGCUCAAUGUUAGUUAUCAAUAAUAUUCUACACACAACACACACAAAUUUUUUUUAAAAAAAUUUUGUACUAGGGAUUGAACCCAGUACAAAAUUAACCACUUAACCACUGAGUCAUACCCCUAGCCCUUUUUUAUGUUUUAUUUAGAGAUAGGGUCUUGCUGAAUUGCUUAGGGCCUCGCUAAAUAGCUGAGGUUGGCUCUGAAAAAGGUAUAAAGAAAAAGAAAAAAACAAAAAGGUUAAAGAAGAUUAUGACAGAGGUAAGAAUUCAAAGUCCCAAAGUAGACUAAUUUAGAGGAAUAUCAGAAAUUACUAUGAUCCUAUUGAAUAUUCUGUAGUGUCCUAGGUCAAGGAGUUCUGAGAAUCCAGAUAUACAUGUACAUUUUGUCAUUAAGUUUUCAUUGGUUUAUGAUGAAAUGAUCAAAAUAAAGAGGAUACAGCAAAAUUUUCAUUAAGCUAAAUUUAUUAAGUUUGUAUAUUCUUAUGAGAAACCAAGAAUCUCAUAACAGUUUUCUCUGGAAAAAAUAAAACAAAACACAGAUUA
Long non-coding RNA from Marmota monax (woodchuck), 2469 nucleotides. RefSeq lists it as uncharacterized. The record is from RefSeq and is a predicted model, not a curated record. NCBI's taxonomy places the organism in Eukaryota, Metazoa, Chordata, Mammalia, Rodentia, Sciuridae. The transcript is spliced from 3 exons.